GGUGAAGAUGAGCACCUGAGUAGGUGAACUUCCCUCGGUGAUUCUGCUCUGCAGGAAACAUUGUGCCUCACAGGUGUAGCAGCUUUCUGGGGUGUGUUUUCAUGGCAUCUUUUGUUGUUGAGCAUCUUCAGAUAUGACCCAAGGUUCAGGGGGCAUUAAAGAUUCCUCUGUAUAUUUGCUCUCAGGAAGGCUAAGUGUACAACCAUGCUCUUGUAGUUCUUUUUAUUGAAACAGGCUCUUCGGUAGACUAGGUUAGCCUGGAACUUGCUAUGCAGCUAAGGAUGACCUUGUAAUCCCAAUCCUCCUGCCUCUACUUCCAGAGUGCUAGGCAGAAUGAUGGCAUUUACCAUCAUGUCAAAAUGUGAUCAAGUGACUGCAGACAUGCUAAGAAAGUAUUCUACAGAGUGAGUUAUGUCCCACCCUGUGCUUGCAUUUCUUAGGAAUCAAGCAUGCCUCCCCUUACUUACUGCUUGUGUUUGCUUUUAAUCCCCACUCAUACUUGAACCCUUCACGUCCUGCUUCCAGAGACUCAGACUUCUUUUUUCUAGAGUGGAGAAGGCACAAAAUAGAAUUUGUGUAUGCAUGCUUAUUGAGCUAGUGGGAAGGGGGGAAAUAUAAAAGACAGGUGCAAAAAUGAAUCCUCCUGCAAACCAGAACUCAUUGUUCAGCAUGAGUUUUGAUACCUGUAAGGGGAAAUAUAUUUCUUGAAUAAGAAAGCACAAAGUAGGCGCUACUCCAUCGGAAGUGGAGUUCUGUUCCCAGUGCCCAUAUCAUGUAACUCACAGACCCUUGUAACUCUAGCUCCAAGAAAUGCAGCAACUCUUUUUGGCUUCUUUGGGCACCUGUACACACAUGUGCAUGUCCACAUAUACAAAUAAAAUGAAUCUUUAAUAAAGAAAUAAACAGAGGAGGGAUUUCCAAGAUGAUUAGAGCUAUUGUUACCUGGAUAUGUAUGAUAGGAAGGCAGAGUAUGUUCUACCUGGUUGCCUCCCCUUUCACAUGUGCAAGCUUGCCUGGCUGCCCCAUUAGGGCGUAUCGCUGAGGCUCUCUCUAGAAACAAGCACUUGGAUUUCCCAGCCUC
This 1081-nucleotide long non-coding RNA is filed under the name Mus musculus (house mouse). RNAcentral describes it as "long non-coding RNA chr9:68280006-68281087". The stretch from base 568 to 697 matches the Rfam family "Small nucleolar RNA SNORA40". Lineage: Eukaryota; Metazoa; Chordata; Mammalia; Rodentia; Muridae. The record is from RNAcentral.